UACGUAGGGUGCGAGCGUUAAUCGGAAUUACUGGGCGUAAAGCGUGCGCAGGCGGUGAUGUAAGACAGGCGUGAAAUCCCCGGGCUUAACCUGGGAACUGCAUUUGUGACUGCAUCGCUGGAGUGCGGCAGAGGGGGAUGGAAUUCCGCGUGUAGCAGUGAAAUGCGUAGAUAUGCGGAGGAACACCGAUGGCGAAGGCAAUCCCCUGGGCCUGCACUGACGCUCAUGCACGAAAGCGUGGGGAGCAAACAGG
Molecule: ribosomal RNA, 253 nt
Filed under: uncultured bacterium
Lineage: Bacteria
Description: partial 16S ribosomal RNA
Rfam family: Bacterial small subunit ribosomal RNA
Source: RNAcentral